Transfer RNA from Ipomoea nil (Japanese morning glory), 72 nucleotides. It matches the Rfam family "tRNA". Rfam says of the family: Transfer RNA (tRNA) molecules are approximately 80 nucleotides in length. Their secondary structure includes four short double-helical elements and three loops (D, anti-codon, and T loops). The record is from Rfam. NCBI's taxonomy places the organism in Eukaryota, Viridiplantae, Streptophyta, Magnoliopsida, Solanales, Convolvulaceae.
GGAUCUGUGGCGCAAUGGUACCGCGUCUGACUCCGGAUCAGAAGGUUGUGUGUUCGCUUCACGUCGGGUUCA